AAUUCUCCACGCUGCAAAAGAGCAGACGAACUUGGAAAAAAGACAUAUCGCGUGGUGAUCGCAUUUAGUGGUGAAUAACGCCGAUGUUGGGAAUUCCUGUUGGCGAGUUUGUGUGAAUGUCUUGAAAAACAAACAAAAAAGGAAAAAUAUCAGUCAUGGAGCCAAUAACAGCUGAAGGCGACGAGGAAUCUUUAUAAAACAGUAAUGCGGGUAGUUCUGGUGCCUUCCAGGUUGGAAGAAUACACAUGCACUGGAAGGGCAUACACAAGUUGGAGGAGACGGGGGGAGAAAGUGUUAAUAAUGUUACAUCUAUCAAGUAUUACCUCGUAAAAACUGUUGAAAGAGAUGAAAACUUCAAAGACAUCACUUACUACACUUGUGUUCCAACAACCUGGGUUUCGGAAUGCAUGCAAUUCAUGGUAUACCCACCAGUUGGGACACAAGCAUUAGUUAACUGUUUAAGCCUUUAAUUUGUUUUGUCGUUGGUAUACUAAGAAGAUUCCAAUGUUAGGUUUUUACAUUGUGACAAUUUUUAUUUAACAUUUCAUUGUUAUUAGACCUUCUGGACUGCAUCAGUCAAUCAAUUACUUGUUUUGUGCCCUAAUGUCAUGCUUUUUCAUUCAGCAGUACAAUAGAAAUAAAA
This 643-nucleotide long non-coding RNA is filed under the name Daphnia magna. RNAcentral describes it as "uncharacterized LOC116934931". The record is from RNAcentral. Lineage: Eukaryota; Metazoa; Arthropoda; Branchiopoda; Diplostraca; Daphniidae.